CAGUCGCCGCGGUAAAACGAAGGGUGCAAGCGUUACUCGGAAUUACUGGGCGUAAAGCGUGCGUAGGUGGUGGUUUAAGUCCGUUGUGAAAGCCCUGGGCUCAACCUGGGAAUUGCAGUGGAUACUGGGUCACUAGAGUGUGGUAGAGGAUAGUGGAAUUUCCGGUGUAGCAGUGAAAUGCGUAGAGAUCGGAAGGAACAUCUGUGGCGAAGGCGACUAUCUGGGCCAACACUGACACUGAGGCACGAAAGCGUGGGGAGCAAACAGGAUUAGAUACCCGGGUAGUCCCUGUCUCUUAUAA
Molecule: ribosomal RNA, 301 nt
Filed under: uncultured bacterium
Lineage: Bacteria
Description: partial 16S ribosomal RNA
Rfam family: Bacterial small subunit ribosomal RNA
Source: RNAcentral